RNAcentral lists this small RNA (131 nucleotides) under Arabidopsis thaliana (thale cress). Its description in RNAcentral is "ATSL259300". The record is from RNAcentral. Lineage: Eukaryota; Viridiplantae; Streptophyta; Magnoliopsida; Brassicales; Brassicaceae.
UACUUAAUUAAUUGAUAUCUUAUUAUAUAAAGUAUGGUUUUCAAAGUUAGUAACUCAUAAGAUUGUGUCAUAUGUCAAAUUUAUCUAUCAGAUGUUGACAUGUGUCAGAAAACAUUUAUUUUUAUUUUCUU